Molecule: non-coding RNA, 45 nt
Organism: Schistosoma haematobium
Lineage: Eukaryota; Metazoa; Platyhelminthes; Trematoda; Strigeidida; Schistosomatidae
Source: Rfam
AUCCAGUUGUCGAGUCCCAAACAGGAUGAAACGCGCGUCCUGGAU